Molecule: non-coding RNA, 47 nt
Organism: Aedes aegypti (yellow fever mosquito)
Lineage: Eukaryota; Metazoa; Arthropoda; Insecta; Diptera; Culicidae
Source: Rfam
CAAUCGGCCCUUUUCAGGGCCAACAAACGUGUUUUAAAGAGCUAUUU